CCUACGGGUGGCAGCAGUGGGGAAUAUUGGACAAUGGGGGGAACCCUGAUCCAGCCAUGCCGCGUGUGUGAAGAAGGCCCUCGGGUUGUAAAGCACUUUCAGUGAGGAAGAACGCCUGGUGGUUAAUACCCAUCAGGAAAGACAUCACUCACAGAAGAAGCACCGGCUAACUCCGUGCCAGCAGCCGCGGUAAUACGGAGGGUGCGAGCGUUAAUCGGAAUUACUGGGCGUAAAGCGCGCGUAGGUGGCUUGAUAAGCCGGUUGUGAAAGCCCCGGGCUCAACCUGGGAACGGCAUCCGGAGCUGUCAAGCUAGAGUGCAGGAGAGGAAGGUAGAAUUCCCGGUGUAGCGGUGAAAUGCGUAGAGAUCGGGAGGAAUACCAGUGGCGAAGGCGGCCUUCUGGACUGACACUGACACUGAGGUGCGAAAGCGUGGGUAGCAAACAGGAUUAGAUACCCGAGUAGUC
This 465-nucleotide ribosomal RNA is filed under the name Vreelandella stevensii. Its description in RNAcentral is "partial 16S ribosomal RNA". It matches the Rfam family "Bacterial small subunit ribosomal RNA", at positions 338 to 795 of the family's 1533-position model. The record is from RNAcentral. Lineage: Bacteria; Pseudomonadati; Pseudomonadota; Gammaproteobacteria; Oceanospirillales; Halomonadaceae.